AAAAAAAACUCGAAUCUCUCUGUAACUCUAUCGCCCUAAGCUUGAUGACAGAAGAAACAUAGCAGAAACAGGAUUAAAGCCCAAAUCCAUAGGUUAAAGCACAAGAUACAUCAAAGUUUCAAUUCCAGACAAUCUUGCCUAGUAAAAGUUCAAAUUUUUUUUUACAUCUCUGCAGCCAAAAUCUAUGCUAAAGUUCCAUUUCUGAUGUUGAAGUUACCAAACUCGUAUAAUUUCACAGAAAUAAAAUCAAAGAAUUGGAAACAUACCACAAAAGGAAACUUGAACUAACCUGUACAU
RNAcentral lists this unclassified non-coding RNA (297 nucleotides) under Hevea brasiliensis (rubber tree). Lineage: Eukaryota; Viridiplantae; Streptophyta; Magnoliopsida; Malpighiales; Euphorbiaceae. The record is from RNAcentral.